GACUCCAGAGUGAAAGGAUAAUUAGGAUUGAUACAGGACGGAGGAAGGAAGGCAUCCAGGCAAUCUCAAUAAAAGCAUCCAUGAGUAAAAGUUUCCAUUAUUUCUUUAUUAAGCCCAGAACAUUACCAGGCCUAGUGUUGAACUAUAAUUAUUGUUGACAGGAAUAACAAUAUUCUUGUUUAAACUAAUUGAGAAGUCUUUUAUCUCUACUUCCAUACCAGGGUGCUGAUCCCCAACUUUUAGGAAAAGGUCGAGAAAGUGCACUGUCGUUGGCCUGUAGUAAAGGCUACACAGAUAUUGUCAAAAUGCUGCUUGAUUGUGGAGUUGAUGUAAAUGAAUAUGAUUGGAAUGGAGGAACACCUCUGCUUUAUGCUGUACAUGGAAAUCAUGUGAAAUGUGUAAAGAUGCUCUUAGAAAGUGGGGCUGAUCCAACAAUUGAAACUGACUCUGGAUAUAAUUCUAUGGAUCUAGCUGUAGCCCUAGGCUAUAGAAGUGUUCAACAGGUUAUUGAGUCACAUUUGUUGAAGCUGCUUCAAAAUAUCAAGGAGUAGACACAGUCAUCAGAAAAUGUCUGCCCUUUUGUUUACUUCUUGGUCCUUAUAAAUGAUAGUUUUUGUUUACUUAUAAAUUUUUACCUCAGUUGCAAUAUUUACUGGUUUUUAGUAGGUUUUAAUAAAUAUUUCUCUGAGUAAUUCACUGGUUUAUAAUAAAUUUAAUACUCUUUUUAUAA
This 730-nucleotide small RNA is filed under the name Pan troglodytes (chimpanzee). Its description in RNAcentral is "retained intron". Lineage: Eukaryota; Metazoa; Chordata; Mammalia; Primates; Hominidae. The record is from RNAcentral.